ACGCUCGACACCUACGGAGCAGCAGUGGGGAAUAUUGCACAAUGGGGGAAACCCGUGAUGCAGCGACGCCGCGUGAGCGAAGAAGUAUUUCGGUAUGUAAAGCUCUAUCAGCAGGGAAGAAACUGACGGUACCUGACUAAGAAGCACCGGCUAAAUACGUGCCAGCAGCCGCGGUAAUCUGAGCGGGCUGGCAAGGC
RNAcentral lists this ribosomal RNA (197 nucleotides) under uncultured bacterium. Its description in RNAcentral is "partial 16S ribosomal RNA". It matches the Rfam family "Bacterial small subunit ribosomal RNA", at positions 326 to 539 of the family's 1533-position model. The record is from RNAcentral.